This 2203-nucleotide long non-coding RNA is filed under the name Marmota monax (woodchuck). Lineage: Eukaryota; Metazoa; Chordata; Mammalia; Rodentia; Sciuridae. The record is from RNAcentral.
UAAAAGAUUGCUCUGUGCCUGCUGAGAUGUGCCAAGAAGGGCCCACAUCACACUUGUGGUGUCUCCAACCAAGCCGUACAAGCCAAAUCUAACCACGGGGACAUCAGAAAAUCCCAAUGGAGGCCCUGUGUUGGUAAGCUUCCUUCUGUGACAACAAAGCCUGAGGUGACCGCUCAGAAAGGGACAGGUUUAUUUCGGCAGGCUGUUUGGAGCUUUCAGCCUAUGAUCUGCUGCCCCCUGCUCUGAGCCUGUGGUGAGGCUGCACGUCCUGGAGAAUGCACGGUGAAGCGAAGUGUGGGAGACACAAAGCCCAGUGGUCCAUUUUCAGAAUAGAGCCUUAAUGGAUCUAAUCCCCUUUCCCGCCCCAGUUUUAAAAUUAGCUAGUCGCUAAUUUUAUCACUGAGUUCCCCAAUCAGGAUAUGGCCACCCAGACAUGCUUACUAGCCAGGUUCCCCUCAAACACCUUUUGACAGGAGUAAAUGCCUUGCCCACCCACUUUCCAGCUCAUGCCCAAUUUCUUAUGGCACCUCAGUAUUUUUAAUAAAACCCAUUAACUUCAUGGCCAGGAAGCAAAACUGAAAAAGGAAAAGGGGCUGGAGUCCCACUAAUCUCUUCAAGGGUGCCCCCCAAUGACCUAACACCCACUAACUAGGCUCUCCCUCUUAAAGCUUGCACUGUCUCCCAUAACACCAAGGACCGAGCCUUUAACGCAUGACCUUUGGAGGACACUCCAGAUCCAAGCUGUAGUGAAGGUAUUCCUCAGAAGAAUGGGCCCACCCCAUACUCCACCCAAGUGUCAAGAUCAUGAAAGACGGUUCCAGAUAGAAAGAAACUAAGGGGACCUGACAAUUAAAAGGAACAGGUAGCCUGGGUUGGAUCCAGGACCAGAUAAAAGUGAGACUACUGGCAAGUUAGGUCUGCCCAUUAGAUAACAGUUACAACAAUGUCCAUCUUCUGAUUUCUUUAAAAAAAUAUUUUUAUUAAUGCACAUGGCUAUGUAGCAGAAUGUUCUUGGUUUUAAGAAAUACACACUAAGGGGCAUUCUGCACUGUAAAAUAUUUCAGAAGAAAAAUCAUACAUAUACAUACGCAGACAUGAUUUUUUAAAAUCCUACCUAUAUACAUAUAUUUCAAGAAGAGCAGGAAUGGUAAAGACAAAUGAAAACAUCAAGUCAUUCUAACAUUAGGGGAAAUCAGAAGGAUAAGCUGAAAUUCCUUCUACUACUUUUGCACCUUUUUUUCCAAGUCUGCACAAACCUGUGUUUAGAUGGGGGGUUUUGCUUUUGUUUUGGUGCAGGGGAUUGGGCUCAGGGUCCUGCAUAUACUCAGUGGCUGCAAUUCUGAUAAAAUGCAAGUUAAGCAUAGGUUAGCAAUCCACUUUGCAAAGGCAAGUAUCUACGUAAACUGCCAAGCCAUGAUGUCCAGGCUCACAGACGCCUGGAUGGUAGUGCUGGCAACAUCCCCUAUGCCUAUCUCAUUGAGUGCUUUCCUGUUUCUCUUACCUCUAUGAUGACGACCUUUGCAAAUUCUGCUUGGGCCAGUAAGGGACGCGUGCAGCUAACAAACCAGCCACCUGGGAGCACCAUGUAACAGGAUGGGUACUAGAGCUCCUGGCUUGACCUAUUUUCCAUGACUUGUGUGGCAGGGUGCCUCUGGUACUCUUCCACCCAGAAGCGCACAGUGGCAAGUGUAAAUUUUUGCUUCAAUUACUUUUGGAAAACAAGAAAAAAAAAUAUGUGUGUAUGUAUAUAUGUGAGUGUACAUACACACAUACACAUAUUUGCGCGCAAAUGGCAUUAUACUACAUGUAAAACCUCUCUGUAGGAUUACGUAAUAGUGUUGAAGUACAUAAAGCCAGCAUCGCGUCCUUCUUUAGUGACUGCUUUUCUCCACAUUGCCCUUUCGGGAUCUCCUGAGCCCUAUUAACACGUGGUCUGCCUGCCUUUUAAAGGCCAGGCGGCGGGGAGGGCGGUCACUGGAUGCCCGCGAAUUUAACGCCAGGGCCUCUCCCGAACCAUGGAAACCCGAGGCCGGGGUGGGGUCGGCCCGUGCGCACGGAUGGCCGCAGCAUCAGGUCGCGGACAAUGCCUGCAGCUCUGGGCUCGGGCCACCGGGCCUGCUGGGGAGCAGAACGAUCCUGGCCGGCCCGCCGGGCGCAGCAGGCCGCCUCCGCCCAGGGCGCGGCCGGGGCGAGGGGAGCGGGC